UAAUACGUAGGAAUCUGCCUAGUAGUGGGGGAUAACCCGGGGAAACUCGGGCUAAUACCGCAUACGCUCUAAGGAGGAAAGCGGGGGCUCGCAAGACCUCGCGCUAUUGGAUGAGCCUGCGUCCGAUUAGCUAGUUGGUAGGGUAAAGGCCUACCAAGGCGACGAUCGGUAGCUGGUCUGAGAGGAUGAUCAGCCACACUGGAACUGAGACACGGUCCAGACUCCUACGGGAGGCAGCAGUGGGGAAUAUUGGACAAUGGGCGCAAGCCUGAUCCAGCAAUGCCGCGUGUGUGAAGAAGGCCUGCGGGUUGUAAAGCACUUUAAGCAGGAAAGAAGGGGUAAAGGUUAAUACCCUUUAUCAUUGACGUUACCUGCAGAAUAAGCACCGGCUAACUCCGUGCCAGCAGCCGCGGUAAUACGGAGGGUGCGAGCGUUAAUCGGAAUUACCGGGCGUAAAGCGCGCGUAGGCGGUGGGCUAAGUCCGCUGUG
RNAcentral lists this ribosomal RNA (489 nucleotides) under uncultured Gammaproteobacteria bacterium. Its description in RNAcentral is "bacterial SSU rRNA". It matches the Rfam family "Bacterial small subunit ribosomal RNA", at positions 111 to 596 of the family's 1533-position model. The record is from RNAcentral. Lineage: Bacteria; Pseudomonadati; Pseudomonadota; Gammaproteobacteria.